Unclassified non-coding RNA from Papio anubis (olive baboon), 146 nucleotides. It matches the Rfam family "Metazoan signal recognition particle RNA". Rfam says of the family: The signal recognition particle (SRP) is a universally conserved ribonucleoprotein. It is involved in the co-translational targeting of proteins to membranes. The record is from Ensembl. Lineage: Eukaryota; Metazoa; Chordata; Mammalia; Primates; Cercopithecidae.
GCCGGGCAUGGUGGCACAUGCCUGUAGUCCCGGGUACUUGGGAGGUUGAGGCAGGAGGAUCACUUGAGCCCAGGAGGUCAGGGCUGCAAUGAGCUGUGAUCACCACUGUACUCCAACCUGGGCAACAGAGUGAGAUCCUGUUUCAA